CCAUGGACCAGAGCACACCAGGCACUCCUGUCUUCCAUUGCCUCCCGCAGUUUGGUCAAACUCAUGCUGGUAGCUUCGAGAACACUAUCCAACCAUCUCGUCCUGUCGUCCCCUUCUCCUUGUGCCCUCCAUCUUUCCCAACAUCAGGGUCUUUUCCAGGGAGUCUUCUCUUCUCAUGAGGUGGCCAAAGUAUUGGAGCCUCAGCUUCACACUCUGUCCUUCCAGUGAGCACUCAGGGCUGAUUUCCU
Podarcis lilfordi (Lilford's wall lizard) is the source of this 248-nucleotide non-coding RNA. The record is from the annotation of a GenBank genome assembly. NCBI's taxonomy places the organism in Eukaryota, Metazoa, Chordata, Lepidosauria, Squamata, Lacertidae.